Molecule: long non-coding RNA, 13707 nt
Organism: Argentina anserina (silverweed cinquefoil)
Lineage: Eukaryota; Viridiplantae; Streptophyta; Magnoliopsida; Rosales; Rosaceae
Exons: 3
Source: RefSeq, a predicted model, not a curated record
CUCCCUCAUUCCUCCCCGACUUUGUUUUCUUCUUCCUUCUGCAUGCUAGUAUUGAGAACUUCGUCUCUAGCCAAUAUCUCUGCAAACCACCACCACCACCAUCGAAUUACCUACCCGAAACCGAGUCUUAUCUACCCAAAUUCGAAGGCAGAAACCAACCUAUCGUCGCAGCUCCUGCACCUCAGAGUCUACUCAAAACCAAGUCUUACCCACUAUCGCCGCAGCUCCUAGCACCUCUGCUAAAUAUAGCACCUCCUUAUACACACACACACGCACACACACAAAGAGCUACGCUUUCGCCGCUACGCAAUCUCAAACUCUGAUCCAAUCCACUCCGACCCUAUCUCCAAUAUGGAAGAUUCUUUUGCUACCCAAUUCGGACCUCCAGCCCCGACGCCUGUGCCUCAUCGAUGUUUCUUGUGAGGACGAUUCUCUCAUCGACUCCUUCACGCCUUCACCGGUGACUUCAAGUUUUCAGCUGAGUUGGUCUUGUGAAAUGGUUGAAGCCAUUCACUGAUGAAGUUCUUAUUGAGCUUGUCCAGAAGGGAGCUCAAUGUCUCCUUGUUGUUCCAGGUAUUUUCAAAUAUUAGAAAUUGUAUGAGAAAAAAGCAACAUUUUACGUUUAAUUGGUUUUACCCUCAUGCCUUUAUACUUUGGAAAGGAUGAAUAAAGUAUUCUUUUUGUUCCCUAUUCCUUACAAACUGCAUCGGUCACCAAACGUUUAGCUCUUGGACCCCUCAUCUCAAUAACCAGCUCGAAAUGGUUACUUCUCUGGUGAGAUUAUAUGCCUUAGAUGAGUAAAAACUGAUUAAAGAGUGUAGUUGCAAUUUAAAAAGCAGAAAUGUUAUCAGUUUGUAGUUACUACUGUUCUCAAUUGUGUAGUGACUAGUGAUCCAGAUUCCAGAUUUCUAUGGAUAAUAUGAUAUGUGUGUUUAUGAUCGGGGCUAAUAAAUUUUGUGCUAACAUUAGUGGGAUCCUCAUAAUCUAUCUAUAUCACCUAGGCAGUUUAAAAUUCCUCAUAAUGGUUUGUGGUCGUGGGUUACACUCUUAUUUCUAAGCAGACCAAGAGCUUCUUGUAGCCCAAAUUCCAACAUUUAGCUAGGUUAUCAACAAAGAAUAAUCAUAACCAUAUCAUUAAUCCAAUGUCACCUUGUAUGCUUUUUUUAUUUUUGUUUUAAGGAUUCAUAAUUUUGGACUGCGUUAUUAGGGGUGUUUUGUUUACAACCUUAAUCCAAUGUCGACUAAUCCAAUGUCAACUGGAUAAUGCUAAAGUUUUUUUGUUUUUGUUUUGUUUAUGACUAGUUUGUGACCUGAAUGUUAAUAUAUUCAAAUUGUUUGAGUUUUUCUUUUGGAGUAAUGACUUCGGUGUAAAGUAAAAUCAUGCUAGAGUUUGUUGUUCAUAUAAUGAUCUUUAACCGUGUGUGGUUUUUCAACAGUUUUUACUUACGAGGGUCAUAUAUUGAUUUUUUAAUGCAUAUUCAAAGGGAUAUUUUUUGUUGCUAUUGAUCCAUAGCAUGCCUCUUUCGGAUCAAAGACCUUUUAACAUUGUUUUGCAAGAGGUUACAGACUAUUUUCUUUAUUCAGCUUCAUUUGUGUGUGGUUUUUGCGAAUGGUUUGUCUUUUAUUCCAUCUGUAAAGAUAAAUGUAGUUGAUUAUUUGACGAGUUUUGUUUAUCUUUUCUACUUUGUAGCUUUCAGGAAGAGAGCGGUGCCAUAUUCUUAAAGUUGGUUUGUGUAAAUUUUUCUUUCUACCCCUGGUUAUUUUCGUUUUCUGAUAGUUCUUUGAGAUGCACGAGAUUCAAUUGAGUUGUGUAAGAGAAGCGAAACAUAGUAAUUGAAGAAAUAUAGAGCGUAUGACUUGGGCAAAGACAAGGUAGUGAUAUAACUAUACUAAGCAAGGAUAUUAACCUGUUGGCAAUGAAAAAAAGGCUUAAUGUAGGCUCACAAGGGUUAACGCUAAGGUGUCCCAAGCAGGGCACAAACAUGCAUACGGCUUUUGGCUUAAGUGGUGGAAUUCCUAAAAAGAUCCAACAAUCUUUUUCAAAAUCAGAGUAUAUUAUGACAUAAAGCUUCGAAAGUUUCACAAAGUGAGUUCUAGUAUUCUCUAGUUCAUUGCAAUUCUAUGACAUAUGAAUUGAUCAAAAUAGUUGUAAUACUCUCUAAAGAAAGGCACAUAUAUGGCUCGAAACUCAGAAAUGUUACAUGAAUUCAAACGAGUAAGGAACAUGCUCAUUAUGUACCUAAGUUUUAAAAUCUUCAUCUACUACAUGUUCGUACAAUUUCUACACAUUUAUUAACCAUCAAAUAGCAAUUAAGUGCAAUUAAAUAUCGUGAUCAUCUUUCAACCAUAAAUUCAAAGAUCAUACUCAUCCUAGACAGUUAAAGGCAUAUUUAGAACUCAAAACAAAAUCAAAACAACAUACAUAACAAAAAUCGAAAAACAAAACAUAAAAUUCAAUCUAAAAAUCGGAAAUCAAAGCAAGAAAAAUAAAAAUCAAAACAAAAAAAUCGAAACACGUAAGCAUCAAACAAUAGAAUACAACGAAUGAUGUAUACCCCACUCCACACUUAAAACAUACAUUGCUUUUAAUGUACAAUAGGAGCAACGAAAAUUAAAAAGAGAUAAGGGAUAAGAAAAUUUAAAUGAUAGGAGAACUUUGUGUGACGUUCUUAACAUGUUUUUACCUCCAGUUGUACUUUGCUUAGCUCUUAUUGUUGUAGUAUUGAGUCAUUUAGUAAGUUAGGAGUCUUUGGUAGCGUUGGUUGUAUUUUAAUGCUAAAAUAGGUUGAAAAACAAAGAAAUUGUCGAGAGUCCUAUUUAGAGUAGGAUUCCUUGUGUAACUAGGAAACCUAGUUAAAUUAUGAGUCUUCAUUAAUUCGUAUUCUAUAACAUUUGUGAUAAUAUGAGAAUCAUAUUUGUAUUAUGAGUUCUUUCUAGACUAAAAAAUGUACUAUUAUGAGUUUGUUUUAUGAAUUAUCUUGUCUUUUAUUAUUUUUAGAUUUUAAAAGAUGAGAUUGUAUAGCUACAAUGAAGAAAACAUAGAGAAAAAGUCAAGAAAAUGAGGAAAAUAAAUAAAGAAAGAGACACCUAAAAAAGAGAAGAAUAAGGAAUUGUCUAGACACAUGAAAUUAAUGAAGUAAAUCAUCUUCAUUAAAUAAUCAAAUCGACUAAGAACCCGACAAAAUGGCACACGUGGCCCAAAAAACAAAGUUGGUGUGGAUCCGAAUAAAACUCAUGUCAGCACAUAAACAGAUGAUCGUAAUCAAAACUACGUGAUUCCGACUUAAAUCGGAAAUUGAAUGUCAUUGACGAUUCGAAAUGGUAAUCAGACAUUUGAUUAAAUUAAUAAAUUCCUCAACGGUUAUAAUUAAAUAAAUUAUUUUCUAUUUAAUUUAGUUAUGAGAAUAACUAAUUUUAAAUUAAUCAGAAAAUACAUAUUGAUUUAAUUGUACAAUUAAAGAAAUUUAUUAUUUUAGUGUCAUUAAAAUAUUCUAUAAAAUAGAAGUCUUAACACUAUAAAUACCCCUUCGAAGGGGGACUGGAGAAGAAGAGAGAAAAUCAGUUGAGCAAGAUUAUUCUCGAGAAAUCUCGAAAUCUCCCAAGUUCACGAAGAAUCGUAAAGCUAUCAAAUCGCUCGUUCUUCAUCAAAUCCAAACUCAAGUCAACGAAGAAUCGUCAAGUUACCAAAUCGCUCGUUCUUCAUCAAAUCCGAAUCCAAACUCAAGUCCACGAAGAAUUGUCAAGCUACUAAAUCGCUCGUUCUUCAUCAAAUCUAAAUCCAAACUCAAGUCCAGAAGAAUCAUCAAGCUGUCAAUCGAUCGUUCCUCAUCAAAUCCAAAUCCAAAUCAAACUCAAAUUCUCAAGAUCAAGUGCAUGUCACCCUUGAGCCAAGUUACAUAUGGAGAUAGAAUCAAAAGAGUUCACAAAGAUUGUAACCCCGCGCUUGAUUAUAAAUAAAUCACAUUUUAUUUAUAUACGUGUCUGCAUUCUCAUUUGUUUUCAAAUUCUCGUUCUAUAAAUUGGCACGCCCAGUGGGACAUUUUUGGCCUCUCAUCUCUUUAUCCGAAGAAAUCUUCCAAUUCGUUUGUGCGAUGGCUUCCAAGAACAACCAAGUCGUUCCAUUGACGAAAUCCAAGUCCACAACCGCAAGGUUAAUCGGAGAGGCCGAGCCGGUCAAGAAAUCCAAACAAGCAUUCUCCAAAUUAAAGAGUGAACCGAUUUCCCUUGUCACUCGGAGCGUGGCUAGAGCUCAACCCACGACAUUUAUGACACUUGCUAGUAAGCCUCGUCAACUAGUCAUCACCUUGGAGAGCUUGGGAGUAAUAGAGAAAGCAUUAAAAGAGAAAGAGCCAAAGGAGAAAUCUCCUCUACCCGUUCAUGGUGAUGACUCUAUCCAGGAAAACGUUUUCUCUGAUGACGAAUCGAGCACGACAUCAUACCAUGAAAGUCCCAAAGAAGAUGACACUAACUUUGAUUAUAUGGAAAAUGAAUCCUCUUCUGACAAUGCGCAGGUCUUGGUGAUGGGGGCAUCCACAAUCGAGGAGCAACUCUCCAAUCUGUGGAGAUGGUUGAAAGCCUCACCCGAAUGGUUGAAGAAAAGGACGUGCAAAUCGCUGAAUUUUAUAGCAAGUUGGAAGAUCACGAUGAUGAGAACUCCACCAAAAGGUCGCCUGGCAGGAGCAAAGUAAAUGAAAAAGGAGAAACAUCCUAAAACGAUGGCGACUCGCUUGGUUCCUUAACACUCCAGCAAUUGCAAGACAUCAUCACCAACUCAAUUCGGGCUCAAUAUGGAGGUCCUUCUCGUGACUCUCUCACUUACUCCAAACCUUACACUAAGAGGAUCGACAGCUUAAGGAUGCCACUGGGCUAUCAGCCACUAAAGUUCCAACAAUUUGAAGGUAAAAGGAACCCAAAGCAACACGUCGCCCACUUUUUGGAGACUUGUAGUAAUGUUGGAACAGAAGGCGAUCACCUUGUCAAGCAGUUUGUUCGCUCAUUGAAGGGAAAUACCUUUGAGUGGUAUACAGACUUAGAGACAGGGUAUGUUGACAAUUGGGAUCAAAUGGAGCGCGAGUUCCUCAAUCGAUUCUAUAGUACGAGGCGGACGGUGAGUAUGAUGGAGCUAACUAACACGAAGCAACGGAAGGAUGAACCCGUGGUCGACUACAUCAAUAGAUGGCGCUCACUUAGCCUUGAUUGCAAGGACCGACUGUCAGAGGUGUCAGCCGUUGAAAUGUGCAUCCAAGGCAUGUACUUUGAUUUGCUAUACAUCUUGCAAGGAAUCAAGCCUCGUUCUUUCGAAGAGUUGGCUACUCGAGCCCACGACAUGGAGCCAAGUUUGGCAAGUCAUAAGGGAAAGAAUGAAUCCCUCGUUGACCAACAAAAAGACAAAGUCUUCGGAAGCAGAUUGACAAGGUUAUGAAGAAGUCUUCCAAAGAAUCAAUCGUCAUCAAUACUGCACCUGUUAAGAUCUCUAUGCGGGAUAAGAAGGAGUUCAAUAAGGUAGAACUGGCUCGAACUUCUUUAACGACUCUGAUGUGGCGGGCAUGUUAGAGGAUCUGCUAGAAAACAAGAUAAUAGAUCUUCCGGAGUGCAAGCGUCCAAAAGAAAUGCAUCGUGUUAACGAUCCGAAGUAUUGCAAAUAUCAUCGCCUCGUUAGUCACCCUAUAGAGAAGUGCUUUGUUCUCAAGGAUUUGAUAAUAAAUCUCGCCAAGCAAGAGAAUAUUGAGCUGGACGUGGACGACGUUGCUGAAGUCAAUUGCAUUACCGUAACAUUUGGGUCGUUCGAGCCAGUUCCACUCCCUUUUCACCCGGUGAAAGCACCAUUUCGUUUCACAAAGAAGGCGCGCGAACAUAAGAAGACUAAAGAAGUUAAAGAAUGUCUUGCUUCCACACCUAUCCUCCAAGUUUCCCCUAAUGCCGAUGAUGAAGGAUGGAUAUUGGUCACUCGGAGAAGGACUCGCAAAGGUACGAUGUCAAACUCACCGGUUGCCCGACCAAGUCAUAAGAAAUCACCUCCACGACGGGGAGAACGGACGAGGACGUUUUGAGACGAAAGUCGUUCUAUAUUUGUGGAAGCCACUUAACCGGAACUUGUCAAAAGGACACUUGUAACUUCAAUGGCCACAAGUUGUGAAGUCAGCUCCAAAGAAGACGAGAAGCCUGAAGUAAGAGAAAUAGGUGCAAGUCAAGUGUUAAAGAAAAAUAAGGUGUUGAAACAAUUGGAGAGUCUACCUUACCAACUUAGCCUCUCUGACUUGAUGCAAUUGCCAAAAUCAACAAGAUGCGCACUUGUGGAGUUUCUUAUCGAAGUAGGAAAACACUCCACAAGCAUGAAGAAAUGUGGCGCGUGUGAUGCAUAUUGUGAUACCAUUCACUUCACAGAUGAUGACAUCCAAUUGGGUUCUAAGCCACAUAAUCGGCCUCUUUUUGUGACAGGAUACAUGCGAGAACGGAAGUUGAAUCACAUGCUCAUAGACGGAGGGUCAGCAGUAAAUAUCAUGCCCAAGUCAACCAUGUCUCAACUCGGCAUCAACGUUGAUGAGUUAUCAAGGAGUCGUCUCAUGAUCCAAGGUUUCAACCAAGGAGGACAAAGAGCGAUUGAGAUUAUCAGACUAGACAUGGACAUUGGAGAGCUAAAAUCAAACACCUUGUUCCAUGUCAUUGAUGCGAAGACCUCGUACAACUUGUUGUUGGGACGACCAUGUGCCAUCCACUUUACACCAAUGCUUCAUGUUCUAUCGCGGAGGUGUGAAAACUGUGGUAGGAGAUACCAAACUAUUCACAGAAGCUGAAUCAUACUUUGCAGAUUCUAAAUUCUACACAGAUGAGGAGUCAAUGAAAGAAGUUCUUCCGGUCAGAGUACCCUCCACUUGGAAAGCCGCUAGAGUUAGGGAGUAAUGCCAAAUCAAAAGACGUUGAGCUUCAUGGUGAAGUGUUGCAAAAAGUCUCAUAUGAAGCAGAAACAUCAUUUGUGGAAAGAAAAGUCAGCCAUGCCUUUUCGGUCAUUCGCUAUGUUCCGAAGUCUAGAGAAAAGGAAGGGGAGUGUCCAUUUAUGGGGACAAAGUCACAAGAAUACCCACGAAAAUUAGAAGAUGAUGAUGUGAAAUUGUUGAAGGGGGAGUCAACAUUGCCAUUAAUAAAUGUGAGCAACCGAAAUCCUACAAAGCAUCCACUAAAGGGGUUUGUCAAACCAAUUCAAGGUAAGACAAAACAUGGAUUGCUGCCCAAGAAAAGAACAAGUGAAUGGUUCGAUCCUAAUGCAUAUAAGCUCUUAGAAAAGACUGGAUACGACUUUAGUUCAUCAAGCAAAAAGGACGAUCAAGCAGUAGUAAAGAAGGCGCAUAAGCUCGAUGAACCACAAAAGAAGUUAAGAGAGCAAGGGGCAACAUUUGAUUCUUCUAAAGUUGGUCUCGGUUUCACUUCGAGCAAGCCAAUUAGAAUUUCAGGAAGAAGAAGGGCGGAGUGAGCCAAUGUGCAACGUAUCAGUGUCGAGGUAGUUGAAGAGAAGAGACAAGAGGUAACAAUGCGCCUUCUUUACUGCUGCUGUUAACAAGAGGUAACCAUAAACCCUAAACAGGUAAUAAGUGGAUAUUGGAAGUAUUAGGAGGUCAUGAUGCAAAGGUGUUACAAUGCUUUUAGAAUGGAGAAGGAUGUAUUUUAUCGUUUAUGUAGUGAUUUGGAGGUCAAAUAUAGGAUGUUGGGUUCAAAUAGAACAAGUCACGUGGAAGUAGUGGGAUUGCUAGUAUAUAUACUAGAACAAGGGUGCGGUAAUAGGUUCGCACAAGAACGAUUCCAACAUUCUGGGGAAACCAUUUUUAGAUAUUUUGGAGAAGCGUUAGAUAUGUUGGUUGCCUGGUGAUGAAAUCAUCAUGCCGUUAGAUCCUGAAUUUAAUGGGGUUGCACCAGAGAUAGAAGGGGACAGAUGAUAUAUGCCACAUUUUAAGGUACUUAGUCUGUUACUUAAUUAGAAUAUUAUAAGUUACUUUAAUUAUUUUAUCUAUUAACAAAUAAUUUCAUCAAUUUAAGAAUUGCAUUGGUGCUAUUGAUGGAGUGCACAUUCCAGCUUUUAUAUCUAUUGAAGAGUCAGUACCAUUUUAUAAUAGAAAAGGAGUACCAACCUAAAAUGUUAUGGAGGCCUGUAAUUUUGAUAUGCAAUUUAUAUUUGUAUGUGCCGGCUGGGAAGGAUCUGCUCACAAUACAAGGGUGUUCCAAUCAGUUAUUCGAAAUCCUGAUAUAAAUUUUCCAAUGCCUCCAUCAGGUAUAAUUAAUUAAAUUAUUUUACUUUGGUCAAAAAUAUAUAUUAUUUUCUAAUUAAAUUUUGUUACAUAUAAUAUUUUGUUAUUUUAACAGGAAAAUAUUAUGUGGUAGAUUCGGGGUAUGAUGAAUGCUCGAUUACUCAACAUCAAUAUUUAACCCUGAACACAUCAUUAGUAGUAUAAAGCAAGAGGGUAUCGUUUACAAACCGGGGAUCCAGCCAGGGCUUAGGAUCACAAUACUUAACACGAAUUCAUAAAGAUAUAAAAAGUUGAUAUAGGUUUCAGAUUGAAUCAUAAAAACAGUAAAUAAAACUUAAACUAAUAUAUACAUGUGAUCAACCAACCAACACAUAAACAAUCACCAAAACAACUCACAUAAGAGAAUCGAAACAAGCUUCAUGACUUCCUUUAGAAUCAUGCCGAGACCAUAUAUUGAACAACUAAGGAUGGAUCAUGCAAUUAGGGUUCUAAGCAGUAACCUAAACACAGACACUUAACACAUUCGAUCACUACCAAGCAGCCAUAAUCGAAAUCUAACAUGUUUAUCUUCAUCAUAUAAUUCCAAAGCCAUGCACAUUGAAUUCAUCAAGUAUAUCACUUACUUAAAUAUCAUGCUACAAGCAUAGUCAUAACACUUAGAAAUCAAAAUUAUUCAAGAACAAUACUCGGUAGAAACCAAAACAGAAACUUCAUAAAACCAAAAUAUAAUUUCGAAUCCUUUAUAUAAAUUGAAUCAAGUAGCUAUUUCAUAGACAAAAUUGAAAUAAGAUUACACUACACAAAUCGCAAGCUUCAUCCAAGAACAAGAAUAAAACCAAAACCGAAUUUAAACAAGAGUGAAUCAUGGUUACACUUUAUAAAUCAAGCAAUCCACAAGUGUAUAGCCGUGACUUCUAUGGAUGAAACCUUCUUCACAAGCGUGCUUGAAGGCUAUUGAUUGGUGGGGAAUGAAGGAAUCGGUUUUAGGAUUUCUUGGAAGGGUGAAGGAUGAAUUCGGCAGAGCUAUGGCUUGUGUUUGUGUGUAAGGCUGAUGAUGAUCUGAAUGGAGAGGCUGAGCCUCUAUAUAUAGGGGUCUAGGAAGCCUUCUUGCCGUCCCAUAAGGGGAUAGAAACCAAUUGGGAAACUGAAAUCCUCUUUGUUAUGGAUUUGAUUCAUGUACUCCAUAUCCAACUUGAUGUAGGAAACCAAGUCCAAUAGGGAGACCACUUAAGGGCUGCACGGCAUUCUCUUGGUCCAACUAGGGGUAGCUAGGCCGGCCUCCUCUUCUCCUUCUUCAACUCGAACAUGAUUUCCUUGUUCAACUAGGAAUGCAUCUCGGCAUCUCUUCUUCCUUUCCAAAUAUGAUUUGUCUUUCCUGAAAAGAAAUCGUCGAUUAAGGAAUAGGAAAGAAUGAAAAUAGGAAAGUAAAAUCAUAGUUGAGUAAGGAAUCCUAGCUCAAUAACGAGUUCUAACACUUAGCACAAUUUCAUCAUCAAUUCAUCUAAAAUUUGAAAUAGCUCUCCUUAGAACAUAGAAAUGACAAAUAUGAAACUAAAACAACUAAAUAAGAAGUAACAAAGCAUAAGAAUAUGGCAUAUAUACAUUAAGAACGUUACACUUUGUGCUCCUAUCAGGGUACCCACAAAUGAAUGGAUUUCUGGGACCUUAUAGAGGACCAAAACAACAUUUUCAACAAUACCGCAGACAAGAGCCAAGAAAUGCGAAAGUGGUAUUUAACCAAGCACACUCUUCUCUUAGAGGCGUCAUAGAACGCACAUUUGGAGUUUGGAAAAAGAAAUGGAAGGUUUUAAGAAACAUGCAAGGUUAUUCAUUUCCAAAGCAAGUGAAGAUCGUGAUUGCAACUAUGAUACUUCAUAAUUAUAUUCGGAGAUAUGGAAAUCGUGAUAGACAUUUUAUCCGUAUUGGAGAAAGAUCCGAUGACAUGACACGUGACAUAGAGAUAGACGAUGAUGCAGAAGAUGAACAUCAUGCUCAUGAUGGUAUACAAGAAAUUGAAAGGAUAAAAAAAAUAGCAUCACCCAAAACUUAAUGAGUGCCCGUAAUGCUAGUUAUUAAUCUAUUGGUAUUAAUUUAUCAUUUUGUAGUCAUUUGAUGUCAAUGAAACUCAACGGUUAUUUGUAAAACAUAAUUUAAAAUUAUAAUUUCAUCAUAAUAAUUAGUAAUUAAUUAUAUCUAAGAAUAAUUUCAUAUAAACAUGAUAAAGAUUCAAUUAGCCAUAAAAUUAAAAUUAAUAAGUAUUACCAUUCAAUUAAAGUUAAAAUUUAUUUCAUGUCUAAAUUAGUUAUUUACAAAUAAAAAACAGUUUACCAAACACUUUGACAAUCUCUUUUCUACCAACAACACUUAAAAAAACUCAAGUUACCAAACACUCAGCCACUUUGCUUUUCAGCAGCUAAUUUUUUUUUAAAAAGCAGAAGCCAGCUUUUCUGUAAAGCCGAGAUGCACCAAACAUAAUCAAAAUUGGAAAGGAAAAAACAGACUCUAAACGGAAAACGCCAGAAUACAACAACGUAAUUAGAUUAGCAAGGAAGCAAAUCGGAGACAGAAUAUGUCGUAAACUGUGGCAGAAUGUAUUAGCCAUAACGCCUAAACUCUGAACUCAUGACAAGGCCUAACUCAUCCAAAGUACAAACGGAGACGAACUCCGAGCAUUAGCCUAAGAAGGGCAAGACUUGGUUGCCGUCGAGUCGAGUUGUUGAACCAAGAUCCAACCGCAGACUUUUCUCAACAAACAAAAGGACAAACAAUCACAGCCCCUGCAAUUCCUUAACAAAUCAAGGAGACAGGAUCAAACCCAAGGGAAGUGAUCGGCAGAACAACCAAACCCAACCCAGAGAUCUGGGACAAACACCACCUUGACACUCUAGAUCGAGGAACUCAAAUCGCGGUAUCAAAACGGUGUUGUGAACCCAAUCCCUACCAAUCGGCAAAGAUCACAACAUCUAGAUCAAGGAGAGGGGAGCCGCCGACAAACACCCGAACACCGAGAGCGUUGACAUCGAACUGGAGAUUAAAAGGGUUUGAUGCAAACAUGCUGUGAGAGACCGAAACAGAAAAGAAAAACACCUCUCCCAAACCAAAACACAGCGGCAGCGCUGGCUGUGCUCGGUUCGGAGAGAAAACAAAGAGCAAAAGGAGUUUUGGUCUUGGCAGUGGAGGAUGAGAGAAAACCCAGAGGGAAGGGUUUUUUAGGACUCUUUUUCUUGAGUUCAGCUGUUUAAAUGAACUUGAGUAUUGUGAACUUAAGUACUCAUGUUUUGAGCAAGAUAUAAGGUCUUCUUUGGCCCUGAGGUAAAACCGCAUUACGAAGCUUAUUUCAAAAUUUAUGUUACAGAUAAAAUACCUAUCACAAUCAGAAGCUAUGACUUCCCUAGGUAUAAUUUAAAAGUUGCUAAAAUGGUACCGGUUAUGGAAUCCAUAAGCUGAGACAACUUCUGUAACAUGUAUUGUAUCAACUUAACUUCACAUUCAUGUUAAUUUUAGUAAUUAGAUAUAUAAACGAUUAAUUUUUACACAACUCUUAUAAUUAUUGUCACUGCAAAGCUAAAGCUAUUUUGGAUUAAUUAAUUACCUAGAGGCCAAAAUAACUCUUGCAUUUUCCUUAAAUGGUCAUAUCGAAACAUAUGCGCGAUUGGGGAUUUGAGUUACCAGUAUAAUAGAUUUAAAGUUCUGGAUCUAAAUAUAUAAUUAUCUGCUAGUCAUUAUUUUACUUUGCAUUACGUUAUACAUAUGUGUGUUUAUAUAUCUUACUAUUCCCUGUUCCACUAAUGAUCGAGCUAAUAUCAAUUAAUAUGUAAUAUAUGUUUCCUCUAACCACUUAAAACGCUGCUCCUGGUUCCCUCACACAGCAUGGUAUGUAUAAAGGACACCCACAAAUUAAGGACAGACCGAAAACAACCUGGUUAGGGACACCAUUGAUGACCUUCCAGACGUACAUACGUGUCUAUAUAUAUACUUAUAGAGGAAGGAUCAAGAGAUGACAUCCUUAGUUUAAGAAUUUAAGAAUUUUUAUCAGUCUACAUAAGUAUAUAAUUUAAUUUGAUGAUUUCAACCAUUUAUCAUCUAGAUUCUUAUGCAAGUACAACGCCUACAAAAACAUCAACUAAUUCUAUAAUGAUUUGAUUAUUCAAAGUUGUGCAAACAAAUGUAAACCAUUCGAUAAAAUAUAAGAAAAAAUUGUGAUAAUUAAAUGGUUAAACGAUUUGCAUUUUGGCUAAUUUUUCCCAUGAUUCAUGUGUAUAAGUAUGUAGUGCAUGGUUGGUUUAAAUUGUUGAUUUACAUAUUGGAAAUGAAAACAUCCUCACUUUUGGAGUUUAAGGAUGUCAUUUCUUGAUCCUCCUUUAUAUAUAUAUAUAUAUAUAUAUAUAUAUAUAUAUUCAUUGUUUGUCAGAUAUCCAGAACUUGGAUCUGGAGAAUUUGUAUCUCAGAGUUCAAUGGUGAUUGAUAAUUAAUUUUUCUCUUUACAGUCAAGAUCGAUUUAGUUGAGGGGGUGAGAAACCAUGACAUUAUUCCAAGUUUGACUCAAGGCUAUGAUCAAUAUCAGAGUUGAGUAUAUAUACUGUCCAUGCAUGUUAAGCGUGUAAAUUAUGCUUCGCAUAGGGAAUGCAUCCUAACUUCUCAUCACUCGUUUUUGAAAUUACUAUGUACAAUUGGAUUUAUUAGGGUACACGGCGAAAUUGGUCUCAACUCGUAAAUCGAUCUCAUCACAAGUAUAUAUAAUUAUUGGAGUCUAGGUCGUGAAAGUUGACCGAAUACAUGGAAAUGGAAAGAAAAAUAUUCACGUGGGAAUUGAACAUAUAUCCGCGAGCUAAUUAAAACAAGUAUUUAAUGGGUGAGGAACGAAGAAGAAAUCAAAAGAAUCAAAAAAAUGGAAGAGCACAGUUCAGCAGCAAAGUCUGGGAUGAGUGAUAAUAAUAUUGCUCUCGUUUCUUACAAGCUCAUCCCGAAUGCGGGAAGUAGCUUUCUUCAGUCAGCAACGAGGGUUUUGUUCAAGUGUUUGGGUAUUAACGUCGAAGUUUCAUCAAACACACAAGUUUCUGAUCAAUCACCAGACGUGGAUCAAGAUGCAUCAACCAAAGCAGCGGAUCAAACCUCUGCAGGAGUUGUUAUCGUCGCCAGGAGUGCGUUAGGCACAGGGGGUGGUGCACAGAUAAAUUGAUCAGUCUUGUUAUUGUGAAGGAGCCAAAGAGGUUGACUAAUUACAAAUAUGCUACUAUGAGCCUCUCGCAAGCAAAACCAGUUCUUUUUUUCUAUUAUUUUCUCAAUAAAAUUAGGUUUUGCUCAAGUCAGCGGGAACAAGUUCUUGCUUAAUUAUAUGUAGUAUACCUAGCUAUUUGAUGUAUGCAUGAAGCAUAUAUACAGUUAGUCAAGAGCUGUAAUAUUUCUUAGCUUAUGAAACCUGUAUAUUUCCACCUUGUCUUCUGGUUAAUUAGAUAUGUAUAUAUAUACU